CCAACAAUGGACAACCUUUAAAGACCAUUUGCUACUGUGCCUCUUUUACAUAAUGUACUUCAUCAUGGAUAUUAAUGUAUGUUAAGCCAGUUGAAAAUUUUUGCUAAUCCAAGAUAUUGGGAACAUGAUUACAUUUCAUAAGCGACUAACAAAGUGCCAGCAGUCGCGGUCACACUUUAGCYUAAAGUAAAAAUAUAAAGAAUGUUAUAAAUAUAUAUAAAAAAUUUUUUAUAGUGAAAUAUAAAAGUUUAUCAAUACCUUUAUUAUUUUAAAUAAACAUUAUAAAAACUGACCUCAAACAGGGAUUAGAUACCCCUUUAUGCAGUGAGCAAUUUAUCAUUCUAGGUAGUAAAAUUUCCAGAAUUCAAACCCAAAUAGCAUGGCGGUAGUUGAAAUAUUUAGGGGAACUUACUGAUUAAAUGAUAACCACCAAGAUCACGUACGGCACUUAAUAUUUUACAUACCGUCGUCGUCAGGUAUACUAUAAUAGAAUACCACAAUAUAUUAUAUUAUUAAUWWAAAAAUAAAAGGACAGAUCAAGGUGUAGGCUAUGGUACCGCUUUAGCGAGUUACUAUAAUAACUUUAUUCAGAAGGCAACUUUAAAGUUGCCUUAUCUGCAGGACUUAAAAGUAAUAUUUAUUAUGUAUAUUAUAUGAAUUCCCAUUUAACUGUGC
This 675-nucleotide ribosomal RNA is filed under the name Levantina spiriplana. RNAcentral's name for it is "partial small subunit ribosomal RNA". Lineage: Eukaryota; Metazoa; Mollusca; Gastropoda; Stylommatophora; Helicidae. The record is from RNAcentral.